AGUAAUGAAGUAAAACUUACAUUUAGUUUCGACCUAAAAUUAAGAGCUACAUUAAGCUCCUUACUU
RNAcentral lists this transfer RNA (66 nucleotides) under Nithecus jacobaeae. RNAcentral's name for it is "tRNA-Arg". Lineage: Eukaryota; Metazoa; Arthropoda; Insecta; Hemiptera; Lygaeidae. The record is from RNAcentral.